RNAcentral lists this ribosomal RNA (81 nucleotides) under Bacillus cereus. RNAcentral describes it as "partial 16S ribosomal RNA". It matches the Rfam family "Bacterial small subunit ribosomal RNA", at positions 1 to 79 of the family's 1533-position model. Lineage: Bacteria; Bacillati; Bacillota; Bacilli; Caryophanales; Bacillaceae. The record is from RNAcentral.
CUUUAUUGGAGAGUUUGAUCCUGGCUCAGGAUGAACGCUGGCGGCGUGCCUAAUACAUGCAAGUCGAGCGAAUGGAUUGAG